CGGGGUGCACGUGCAACGGAGACACCGCCCCUAAACCUGGGGCCCUGAGGCUAACAGCUAACAGUGGCCCUGCCGUUACGGCCAGUGUCAGGUGCCAGCUGGGCUGGACCAGGAAUUCCCAGAAACCUGGCAAGGCAUGAUUUGGGGUGGGUCGUGCUGAGGGCCACACCAUCCGCUUCCCCGCUUCUGAGGCCUUCCGACCUGGGCUGAGCCCGGCUACCCGAGUCCCGGGGUCUCCGGCUCACAGACUUCUCGGCCUCCGUAAUUGCAAACGCCAGCUCCCCCAGUCCAUCUCCUGUCCUGGAUCUACGUCUAUAUCCUACUGGAUCCGUCUCUCUGGAGAACCCUAAUACAGCUGUCAACACAAGGAUGAACUAACUACAAGAAGGCCUGAAUAGGAACUCUCCCAGGGGACGAAGAGGUUUCAGCCUUCAGCAAAGGAUGGUUCAUAGAAACCGUUCGCAUAGUCGGCCCUCCACGGACUGCAACCCUAGUUAAUAUUACCUACAGUAAACAAAAAAUUCAAGUAUAGAUUUUAGUCUAAAGCAAAUAGGAAAUGUCGCUUCCCUGGACGUUGGGAGAAGCAAACACGAAUCCUCUCCUGAGGCCGGAAGCGGUGGCUCACGCCUGUAAUCCCAGCACUUUGGGAGGCUGAGGCGGGCGGAUCAUUUUAUAACUAUCUAUUAAAUGGUUUAAGUUUUCAGUCCAUUUUUCCUGUCUACAUGGAAUUGCCGACUGCACAAAGAACACAUGAGGGCUCUCUCAAGGCCAUCAUUUCCGCGGAGUCCCAUUUCCUGACUCAAAUGACAAGCUCUCAACUUUCUACUCAAGAUCAUUGAAACAUCUGUGUUGAUUAUUUGUAACCGGGAUAUGCUUUAUUUAUUAGAUAAGAGACUAACCGUUGGUGCGUUGAUG
Molecule: long non-coding RNA, 915 nt
Filed under: Homo sapiens (human)
Lineage: Eukaryota; Metazoa; Chordata; Mammalia; Primates; Hominidae
Description: HSALNT0246567
Source: RNAcentral